GAUCCUGGCUCAGGACGAACGCUGGCGGCGUGCUUAACACAUGCAAGUCGAACGAGAAUCUACUGAAAGAGUUUUCGGACAAUGGAAGUAGAGAAAAGUGGCGGACGGGUGAGUAACGCGUGAGGAACCUGCCUUGAAGAGGGGGACAACAGUUGGAAACGACUGCUAAUACCGCAUGAAGCAUAGGGGUCGCAUGAUUCUUAUGCCAAAGAUUUAUCGCUUCAAGAUGGCCUCGCGU
This 238-nucleotide ribosomal RNA is filed under the name uncultured bacterium. RNAcentral's name for it is "partial 16S ribosomal RNA". It matches the Rfam family "Bacterial small subunit ribosomal RNA", at positions 15 to 236 of the family's 1533-position model. The record is from RNAcentral.